AGUGAACGCUGGCGGUAGGCCUAACACAUGCAAGUCGAACGGCAGCACAGUAAGAGCUUGCUCUUACGGGUGGCGAGUGGCGGACGGGUGAGGAAUACAUCGGAAUCUACUUUUUCGUGGGGGAUAACGUAGGGAAACUUACGCUAAUACCGCAUACGACCUACGGGUGAAAGCAGGGGAUCUUCGGACCUUGCGCGAUUGAAUGAGCCGAUGUCGGAUUAGCUAGUUGGCGGGGUAAAGGCCCACCAAGGCGACGAUCCGUAGCUGGUCUGAGAGGAUGAUCAGCCACCCUGGAACUGAGACCCGGUCCAGCCUCCUACGGGAGGCAGCAGUGGGGAUUAUUGGACAAUGGGCGCAAGCCUGAUCCAGCCAUCCCGCGUGGGUGAAGAAGGCCUUCGGGUUGUAAAGCCCUUUUGUUGGGAAAGAAAAGCAGCAGGUUAAUACCCCGCUGUUCUGACGGUACCCAAAGAAUAAGCACCGGCUAACUUCGU
RNAcentral lists this ribosomal RNA (491 nucleotides) under uncultured bacterium. RNAcentral describes it as "partial 16S ribosomal RNA". It matches the Rfam family "Bacterial small subunit ribosomal RNA", at positions 29 to 506 of the family's 1533-position model. The record is from RNAcentral.